This 2036-nucleotide long non-coding RNA is filed under the name Jatropha curcas. RNAcentral's name for it is "long non-coding RNA (JCUR_LNC002697)". The record is from RNAcentral. Lineage: Eukaryota; Viridiplantae; Streptophyta; Magnoliopsida; Malpighiales; Euphorbiaceae.
ACUCGGGACGGAAGUUUGAUAUAAUUCUAGUUAAGUUAUUUUCAUAAUGCCUUUAUUCUUUUUGUCAGUUUGUCCAUCUGUCUGUCUUCUCUCUCUCUCUCUCUCUCUCUCUCUCCUGUUAAUUACUUUUUCAAAUUCAACCUGCUAUCAGCAGAACUGCAUUUUAUUGGUAAAUCAAUGCAUAGAAAUCAGGGGAUGUCUUCUCUCCCCAGCAAGUGGGAUCUGAUAGUGGAUAUAUCAAGAUGAUGGUAAACUGCUGUACAGAAAGUUAAUGAACAGGGAGUUCUUGAGUACAUGUCCAAUACCUUUUUACAUUUCUUAGGGUGCAUGAUGAACAUGACUGACUCUUUAACUUCCCUUGAGGGUGAAGUUGUCAUCCAGACCCUCAUUGUUUUGUAAUAUGAUCAGGAUUUACUGACUUCCCUCCCUGUGCUUCUGUUUUGCACCAGUGUUGUUUGCUUAUCUCAGAAAAUUAAAUUUUGCAAUAUUUUUUUGAUAUUCUACAAUUUGCCUUGUAGGAUUUUCUUGGACUCGUUGAGAAAUUUUACUAUCUAUCUGGCAGAUAUGACAUUCAGUUGACUGUUGGUGAUGCAGUCAUGGUAGGUUUCCUUUUAUUCUUAAAUAUUUUUCUUACUUCUGUUUGUUUGUUCUAGUUUACAAUAUUAGAAUAAUACAAUUGUGUUUUUCUUCCUCAGGAGAACUCUUUCUUAAAGGUUAUUGGUCAUGUAGACCUAGACCUACCAGAACCACCUGAAAAGGCACCCCGUCCUCCCCUGCAGCCAGUUGAACUAUACUCAAGAUACGGCCCAAAGGCUGAGAUAACCCACAUCUUUAGGGCACCUGAAAAGCGUCCGCCUGAGGAGCUCUCCCUUGCUUUCUUGGGUCUUACACUUGUGCCAUUCAUUGGAUUCUUAAUUGGGGUGAGUUGCAUAUUAAUAUUUGUUAGAAAUUUAUGAACAUGUGAGAUAUGUUGUUAUCUUCUUUUGAAAAGCUUAUAAUAUGCCUAGACUGGAUUGACUUCUUGGUCACUGAAAUGGUUGGAUAUCCAUGCUGUGCACAGAGCUUUUGUACAAAUAAUAUGUUUUUAUCUUUUGUUCAGUGAAUUGGUUAGUCUUUUCUAGCUUGUUUAGGACACCAAGUACUGGAUUCAUCUUGGUACAUGUCUCCAUGCGCGCAAGUGAGCUUGUUACAACAUUAAAUUUCUGGUUGAAAUUAGGUUUUAGGUUUUUGGGAUCAGGAUCUGCUAGUGUAGUAACUUGUCAUAUGACCUCAGUGUGAAAGGCCUGGAGUCUGCACCUGGUUUAUAAUAGAAAAUGAAGGUACCUUUUUUGUGUUCUAUAAUUCACCCAAAUAGGGGAGAGUUAAGAGUUCAAAGUAUCCCGGAGCCCAUUAUUUGUGCCUGUUUUUUGUUGGCAUGUGAUGUGAACCAGUUCGCUCACAAGGUGGUAAUUAGUAACAUAUGUUAACAUGCUUUUUCUUUUGGCAGCUUUUACGUCUAGGGAUAAACCUGAAGAAUUUCCCUUCUUCACCUAUACCUGCUACAUUUGCCAUCCUGUUAAUUACUUUUUCAAAUUCAACCUGCUAUCAGCAGAACUGCAUUUUAUUGGUAAAUCAAUGCAUAGAAAUCAGGGGAUGUCUUCUCUCCCCAGCAAGUGGGAUCUGAUAGUGGAUAUAUCAAGAUGAUGGUAAACUGCUGUACAGAAAGUUAAUGAACAGGGAGUUCUUGAGUACAUGUCCAAUACCUUUUUACAUUUCUUAGGGUGCAUGAUGAACAUGACUGACUCUUUAACUUCCCUUGAGGGUGAAGUUGUCAUCCAGACCCUCAUUGUUUUGUAAUAUGAUCAGGAUUUACUGACUUCCCUCCCUGUGCUUCUGUUUUGCACCAGUGUUGUUUGCUUAUCUCAGAAAAUUAAAUUUUGCAAUAUUUUUUUGAUAUUCUACAAUUUGCCUUGUAGGAUUUUCUUGGACUCGUUGAGAAAUUUUACUAUCUAUCUGGCAGAUAUGACAUUCAGUUGACUGUUGGUGAUGCAGUCAUG